Long non-coding RNA from Astatotilapia calliptera (eastern happy), 3189 nucleotides. NCBI's taxonomy places the organism in Eukaryota, Metazoa, Chordata, Actinopteri, Cichliformes, Cichlidae. The record is from Ensembl.
GCGAGCUUCAGGAUAAUCCCAGUGAUGGGGAAAGGAUGACCGCUGAGCUGAGAGACAUCAUCAGCCAGUUCAUGCAGAAGGUGGAUGAAUUUAGAUUUACUGUGAGCAACAUGGCUGUAAGCACAGAAGAAAAGCAAAUGAUGUUGAGGAGCAUGAUGGAGGCUCAAGACCAGUUGGAAAGAAACUACAUCAGUAAGAAGGAGGAGCACAGAGCUCUGGAGAUGCAAAACUACAUGGGCUUAUCCAGGAACACUGGCACUUUUGAUGCUAACAGACUAGUGGAAGGAGACAUCUUUAGGAUAGGCAUGCAUCUUGAGGACAUUAAGGAGAUCAUAGACAAAAACGUGUGUGAUCAGAUUUCUCCUCCUCACUCAACAUCCACUCCCACGUCCACGACUGUACCCACUCCUGUCUGCAUGUUCACACCUUCACCUCCACCUUCCCUGCAUGAGGGGCAAAGUUAUAAGAUGGACACAGAGGAAGAAGAAGAGGAAGAAGAAGCAGAGGAGGGCAGUGACCUUCAGAUAAAUGGUGGAUCAGACCAAAGUAGUGAGCUCGUAACUGCUGACCCUCUAGUGAAAAACUCUGGACAUGGCAGCUGCCAGUCACGGGACUCAACGGGCUCCUUGGUUGGACUUGAUGUCUGUAAAGAUGAGGAUGAGGAGAGGAGCUCUGGUUUGUCAGAGGUGGCAGAUCACAGUGACAUCUUAGCUUACCUGUGUGGAAACAAGACCACCUCACACGAGCAGUGGACAGUCAGCAGCCACAGCAUCAAGGAUAGAGUCUCCAGACAAAAGGAUGAAUGUGAUCUGGGUGACUGUGUUAGUCUGGCAGUGGAGGUCUCCUGUUCCUCUGAUGCACCAAGAGGCUCAGAGAGCCACAGCUUCUCAGAGCCGGAUCUCAACACCUCAUGUGCCUCGCAGAUGGUGAGUUCAGAGACAGACAGCGGAUUUGGGAGCUCUUACUUGAAUCAUUCGGGCUCGGGAUCAUUUCAAUCAAAUCUGCUUCCAGAAAGGUGUGAGUGAGAGUAUUUUAAUGACUGGUUCACCAUCAUAAACAUAUCACAUGAGCCUAACAUGAGAAUACCUUAAGCUGAGCUUUUGCUUCUGCAGUGUGUUGUCCCAGAAAGAAGGUUUAAGUAGCUCAGACAGUGAAGACUCGUGCUCCCACCUGCAAACAGCCAUCCACCCUGCCAUCACUGGCUACCAGUGGGCCAGCCCCCACCCAUCUGUCCUAACACAACACUGUGGAGCAACAGCUGGAGUGGAUCUGUGGGUGGACAGUACAACUAAGAACCCUUCAGCAAUGCUGCAAGGAUCUGACCAAAGCCUGUCUGCUCAGCACCAUCAGCUCGUAUCUCAACCUCUACUUGGCACCUCCAUGGAUACUGAUGGCAGAGGCAGCCCUCUGCGCUCCUGCUCUUGUAAUAGUGAGGCUAUCCUGGCCUUGCAAUCGGAGGUGUCUAGGCUAAAGAAGGACCUGGAGGUGGGCUUAGUGCAAUUACCUCACUUAGCUCAGAAGAUGGACUAUCUCACCUCAAAAUACAGACAAGAGCGCCAGGAGCGCCGGUCCAGAACCAGGACUUACCAAAGUCCAGCCUGUAACAGAGUGGGGAAUAUCAGCAGCAGAGAUGUGAGUAACUUCAGUUUCAGUCAGGCAAGGCUGGAGGACUGGAUCUCAUCAGACAUGGACCCCAGCCAGAGCAAAGGCACAGACAGCAGUGAAACAAGCUCUGAGAUAAUGUUAAAGUUACACAGUUCACCAGCAGGGAGCAGAAAAGGUGGCAGAGGCGUAUCCUCGGGACCUGAGUUUCAGUUUAAACACCAGGCGGUCCAGCCCAAAGGAGUUUCUCCUGCUGCGUGGACAGAGGGAGGCCGCUCACUGGAAACUUCUGGGUUGAGAAGCUGCAGUUUAAAAGGAAAGAACGACAUGAUGUCUGACUUCAGACCACAGAUUGUCACAAAUAGUUUACACUCCAAGGACAGAUGGUCUCUUCUCUCCAGCUCGUUUCUCCAGAAGCCGCUGUUGCAGGUCAGCUACGGCUCCUCCUGCAGUCUGCCGGCCAGCUAUAAAUUCAGGGAGCCACCGCUGCAGUCCAUGUCCCAUCACAGAAAACCUUCCACUCAGUCAGACACAGCACUCCUGCCCAGCAAUGUGUACUUUCAGCGGACACCGUCUCCAUCAUCCGUGCCCUUCAAGACUGGCAGCAGGACAAGCAGACGUAGCAGGAGCAAGGAAGAAGACGUGAACAGGACUCUGGACCAGGCGAUUGAGAUGGCUCGCAGCAUGAAGAGGACCACUGACCGCAUGGCCAGGAGGCUGUCUGUAGAUCUGGCUAAGGCUCAGCUACACAGGAAACUGCACCACAUGCAGUCACAAGGUGGAAGGAAACAUCUGGAACCUGGCUAUGGAUGAGUUUAUACUCUCAUCUCUUUGCCUGAUACCUUUCUGAAAUAUAUUUUAAAUAAAGUAUAUCUGAUUCACAGAUGUGAUCUGUGAUACGUUUGUUUUUGUUUUCUUUUGGUUUAAACAGUAUCGUCUAUAGUAGUAACAUGUAUAGUACGUUUAUAAAGUUACUGAUAUUUUUAUGAAUGGGCAACAUUUUUUAAAUAUGAAAUGUCUUCAUGUUUUGAUUUGAUCUCAAGGCCUCUGAAGAACAUUUUUAUCCAUCCAUCUUAACUGUAUUCUUACCAAAAUGUAUUCAAAAGAAAUGCUGUGAGGCACAAUGUGAUCUCAUAGUGACGACAACAGUAGACAUAGAGUACAUUGCGACAAGUUGAAGCAAUAAAUGUAAACUUAUUUUCACAAUGCUCCAUGUCACUGAACACCCUGGUAAUCUUUUUUUAAUGUCAGGUGAAAUAUAAGAAGUGAAGCUACAGUGAAUGUAUGAUUUACAGAUGGAAAAUAUAGGAAGUAAACACAUAAAAAAUAUAAAGUGACAUAAAAUUCAGCUUGAUCCUUUUUAAUUGGGUGCCGCAAGUGAAAAUACAUCCUUAACCAUCCUUAGACAUCAGAUGACUCUCUCUGAUAUUUCACCUCUUUACUUUGCCUGCUUCAGUUGUGUGUUUGUGAUCAUUUUCCUGCAGAAUCAUGCAGUGAGUUUCAUGCGUUUGGCAUUUGUAGUUUUUUCCUGUUUGUACCUACUUUGUUUUUUUUCUUUUAACUGUGAUGUCAGUGCACAGAUUUGGA